RNAcentral lists this ribosomal RNA (427 nucleotides) under uncultured bacterium. RNAcentral's name for it is "bacterial SSU rRNA". It matches the Rfam family "Bacterial small subunit ribosomal RNA", at positions 355 to 774 of the family's 1533-position model. The record is from RNAcentral.
UAGGGAAUAUUGGACAAUGGGGGCAACCCUGAUCCAGCCAUGCCGCGUGAGUGAAGAAGGCCCUCGGGUUGUAAAGCUCUUUUGUCCGGAAAGAAAAGCUUCGGGUUAAUACCCCGGGGUUCUGACGGUACCGGAAGAAUAAGCACCGGCUAACUUCGUGCCAGCAGCCGCGGUAAUACGAAGGGUGCAAGCGUUACACGGAAUUACUGGGCGUAAAGCGUGCGUAGGUGGUUGUUUAAGUCUGAUGUGAAAGCCCUGGGCUCAACCUGGGAAUGGCAUUGGAAACUGGGCAGCUAGAGUGCGGUAGAGGGUAGUGGAAUUCCCGGUGUAGCAGUGAAAUGCGUAGAGAUCGGGAGGAACAUCUGUGGCGAAGGCGACUGCCUGGACCAGCACUGACACUGAGGCACGAAAGCGUGGGGAGCAAACA